AAAGGCUUAAGGGGUUCAAGUUUCCGUUUUUUUCCCUGGCAACAUAUAAAUAAAUAACAGUAUCUAACUACGGAGUACUAGUAACUACACUGCGUAUGGCGCCCACGCGAAAGGAAAAGUGCUCUGCAGAGUCCGUCGGCCAAUCUUUCGUCUUCCAUCGUCUCAUUUCCUACGCGCCGGACCCUUUACCUGCGUUUAAACUACCACCACCACUAACUACUAACUAACGAGUACGGCGUAAGAUUUGCAUCAUUGACCCCCCCCCCAGAUCCGCGGUCCAUUUCCGCGGAAUCAACCCUGUCAACCCUGGGGGGUUGACAGGUUAGUUAGUUAUUUCGUUCGUCGUUGACUGGGUCGGGAGGUAGGUACAGCGUACUCCGUACAGUAGUUAUCCAUAACUACUUUCCUUGCAACACCCCCGUGCCAGGUCGUUCUGGUCUGGUCGCUCUUAUCAAGCUCAACAAUCGCUGAUGUUUUUUUUUUUUUUUUUCUCUCCCCUAAUCAUACUAAUUUUUUUCUGGCUCUCUGGAACACACACACACACACACACACACUGUUUUUAAUUUUUAAUAGUUGAUUUCAAUUUACUUUUGUGGUUGUUGAGGAAUCGAAGAUUUAAAGGCCCAUUUCAUUACCUUUGGUAGUAGUUGGGAAACCAAAAAGACACUUUUGCCUUUAUCCCCCACCUCAGUAGAAAUAGGAGGAAACAGAAAACUUCCCUUGUUAGAAGAAAUGCAUUCCACACCAC
RNAcentral lists this small RNA (748 nucleotides) under Histoplasma ohiense. Its description in RNAcentral is "hypothetical lncRNA". The record is from RNAcentral. Lineage: Eukaryota; Fungi; Ascomycota; Eurotiomycetes; Onygenales; Ajellomycetaceae.